Long non-coding RNA from Ctenopharyngodon idella (grass carp), 1581 nucleotides. RefSeq lists it as uncharacterized. Lineage: Eukaryota; Metazoa; Chordata; Actinopteri; Cypriniformes; Xenocyprididae. The record is from RefSeq and is a predicted model, not a curated record. The transcript is spliced from 2 exons.
UGUCCAGCUGUCCCAACUCUUGGCACAAGAAUAUUGAGCUGAUUGACUAUGAAGUGAGAGAGAGAAGCUAUUGCGCCCCUUCAUCACAGUUGUGGACUUUAGAUCAUAAACUGCAAGCUUGGGAAAUGACAAAAUGACAAAUAUAUGCAUGUUUUCAACCUUUUUAUAAGGGAUAGAUCAACCAAAAUGAAAAUGGACUCAUCAUUUACUCACCCCCCAUGUAGCUCCAUAAGUAUGACUUACUAUCUUAUGUGAAAUACAAAAGAAGAUAUUUUGAGAAAUGUCUUUUUUGUUUUUGUUUUUUUGUUGUUGUUGUUUUGUUUUGUUUUUUGGACCCCAACUUUCACUGUAUGGGCCAGGGUUAUUAUAGUUAACAAGUAAUAACCAAGUACAAGUAAUGAGCAGUGUGUAAUGGAGUGCAGCAGAGCAGCAUCAAGAAUAUCAAAUAUUUGGGGGGACGAUUUGGUCACUUAUAAUUAUUGGGGAGGACUUGUCCCCCUCAAUGUCUAUGGUAGUUACAGUCCUUUCGCAAGUAUGGGCUUUAUUUCAUUGACUUCCUGUUUUACAACCAAUGAGAUUCAUUCUCGCGUGUUACGCAUCACAUUUGAGCUUCAGCAAGAACCAAUGAAGUUCAUUCUGGUGUGUUACGCAGCACGACUGAGCUUCAGCAAGAACCAAUGAGGUUCAUUCUCGUGUUACACAUCACAUUUGAGCUUCAGCAAGAACCAAUGAGGUUCAUUCUCGUGUUACGCAGCACGUUUGAGCUUCAGCAAGAACCAAUGAGGUUCAUUCUCGUGUUACGCAGCACGUUUGAGCUUCAACAAGAACCAAUGAGGUUCAUUCUCGUGUUACGCAGCACGACUGAGCUUCAACAAGAACCAAUGAGGUUCAUUCUCGCGUAUUACGCAUCACGACUGAGCUUCAGCAAGAACCAAUGAGGUUCAUUCUCGUGUUACGCAGCACAUUUGAGCUUCAGCAAGAACCAAUGAGGUUCAUUCUCGUGUUACGCAGCACAUUUGAGCUUCAGCAAGAACCAAUGAGGUUCAUUCUCGUGUUACGCAGCACGUUUGAGCUUCAGCAAGAACCAAUGAGGUUCAUUCUCAUGUUACGCAGCACGUUUGAGCUUCAGCAAGAACCAGUGAGGUUCGUUCUCGUGUUACACAGCACGACUGAGCUUCAGCAAGAACCAAUGAGGUUCAUUCUCGCGUAUUACGCAUCACGUUUGAGCUUCAGCAAGAACCAAUGAAGUUCAUUCUGGUGUGUUAUGCAGCACAUUUGAGCUUCAGCAAGAACCAAUGAGGUUCAUUCUCGUGUUACGCAGCACGUUUGAGCUUCAGCAAGAACCAGUGAGGUUCGUUCUCGUGUUACACAGCACGUUUGAGCUUCAGCAAGAACCAAUGAGGUUCAUUCUCAUGUUACGCAGCACGUUUGAGCUUCAGCAAGAACCAAUGAGGUUCAUUCUCAUGUUACGCAGCACGUUUGAGCUUCCAUUUGCUCUCCCGCAUCAAGCAGAUUCGGCUAAGCUUCUGUUUAUGUUCACUGAUCAAAUGUUUUUAAAUGUGAAUAAAAGCCUAAAUUCAA